AACGAACGCUGGCGGCAUGCCUAACACAUGCAAGUCGAACGAAGGCUUCGGCCUUAGUGGCGCACGGGUGCGUAACGCGUGGGAAUCUGCCCUUAGGUUCGGAAUAACAGUUAGAAAUGACUGCUAAUACCGGAUGAUGACGUAAGUCCAAAGAUUUAUCGCCUGAGGAUGAGCCCGCGUAGGAUUAGCUAGUUGGUGUGGUAAAGGCGCACCAAGGCGACGACCCUUAGCUGGUCUGAGAGGAUGAUCAGCCACACUGGGACUGAGACACGGCCCAGACUGGUACGGGAGGAAGCAGUGGGGAAUAUUGGAGAAUGGGCGCAAGGCUGAGCCAGCAAGGCCGCGUGGGUGAUGAAGGCCUUAGGGUUGUAAAGCUCUUUUGCCCGUGAUGAUAGUGACGGUAGCGGGAGAAGAAGCCCCGGCUAACUCCGUG
Molecule: ribosomal RNA, 433 nt
Filed under: uncultured bacterium
Lineage: Bacteria
Description: partial 16S ribosomal RNA
Rfam family: Bacterial small subunit ribosomal RNA
Source: RNAcentral